GGAGCUAGCAAAGGAAGAAGUAAAAAGCCCAGGCACCAGCACCAACAACUCCCGUUUCAACUCCUUGGAAACGAUGACAAGGCAAGAGGUGUGCUGGAGUCAGAGCAGCUGCAACCUGUUCCAUAAUCAAGACGUCUACAAAUACUCAGCCCUGCCACUUCCACUCUGCCAGAUGUUCCGCCCGCUCUGACUCUGGUCCCUGUCUCCAGUUCCACGUCUCGUCAUCCUGCUACCCUGUCCUGGAUUCCCCACUCUACUACUCCCUUGGAUUCCUCUGGACCUGCUUACCCUGUCCCAACCCCUCUCGCCUCAGCCUACACACCUGGUUCCCUGCAACCCACCCGAGCUUCCCCUGUCCUGCACUCCAUCUUCCCCAUGUGUUUCAAUAAAUACCUUGGUUACUUCA
This is a long non-coding RNA of Oncorhynchus nerka (sockeye salmon), 406 nucleotides long. RefSeq lists it as uncharacterized. Lineage: Eukaryota; Metazoa; Chordata; Actinopteri; Salmoniformes; Salmonidae. The record is from RefSeq and is a predicted model, not a curated record. The transcript is spliced from 3 exons.